CCUGUAAUGCAAUGUGAUUUAUAGUGCGCUUAAUGCUGCUGCAGUAUACGGAGAAAGCGCCGGCGAGGAGGUCGGAUGCUGUGUGCAUAUAGUACGGUGCUGGAUAUGUGCACGAGGUGUAAUUUGUCUCCAGCAGACUCGAGGGAGGGAUCUACACCUAGGUGUUUCCGGCGGUCACAUGACAUUUAAUUGCGGCGUGCCCACCCGGAGCCCCGCCCCCUCCCAUGCCUCACCGCUGCCUGUGGUGUUGCCUGCGUAAUUUGCUCUGGCAGCCUGUUUAGGAUGGAAAUGUAUGGGGGCAGUGCCACCUGCUCCUCCUCCCCCCAAGCCCCUCAGCUUGGCCACUAAUCGCCGUGGAUGAGGCAGAUGACGCUGGCUUGUAAUCGCCAUCCCCAGAGUGCCGGUCCCACGCCGUUCCUACCCAACCUAACCCCCACAUCCACAUCUCAAGGGGAGAAUUGUGUCUCCCUGAUGAUGCAUUCACUGGCCAGCCUGGAGAACAGAGAGUGAUGGACAGUAGCAAGACAGGGUGACAGAGAGUGAAAGAUGCAGAGAUAUUUUACUUUACUUUUGAUUGAACAGUUCUAUUUCCGCUGAAAAUGACACGGCACACGUCCCCAAAAACAGAACACACUCCUCAAAAAAGAAGUGCGGAGAGCUGCACUCAGCUAAUCCCUAUGCAGUCAUAUUUCACGUCAUUUCCUCUUGCGCCUCUGAUGCAAAGGAAUCUUAUUUUGAAAAUUAAGUUCAGUGAUUAAAAGUAAGAAAGAGAAUGUGGAUAUAGACAAAAGCUGGGUGACUGUUACCUCACACACCUGUCGGAAUAAAGACUAUUCCUGGGA
This is a long non-coding RNA of Paramormyrops kingsleyae, 842 nucleotides long. RefSeq lists it as uncharacterized. The record is from RefSeq and is a predicted model, not a curated record. Lineage: Eukaryota; Metazoa; Chordata; Actinopteri; Osteoglossiformes; Mormyridae.